RNAcentral lists this transfer RNA (73 nucleotides) under Trichonephila inaurata madagascariensis. It matches the Rfam family "tRNA". Rfam says of the family: Transfer RNA (tRNA) molecules are approximately 80 nucleotides in length. Lineage: Eukaryota; Metazoa; Arthropoda; Arachnida; Araneae; Nephilidae. The record is from Rfam by way of RNAcentral.
GUCCCUGUAGUACAAUGGAUAGUGCGUUGAACUUCUAAUCCAAAGGUCGUGGGUUCGAAUCCCACCUGGGAUG